UACGGGGGGGGCAAGCGUUGUUCGGAAUUACUGGGCGUAAAGCGUGCGUAGACGGUUAUUUAAGUCAGGUGUGAAAGCCCCGGGCUCAACCUGGGAAUUGCAUUUGAGACUGCGUAGCUAGGGUGCGGAAGAGGGAAGCGGAAUUUCCGGUGUAGCGGUGAAAUGCGUAGAUAUCGGAAGGAACACCAGUGGCGAAAGCGGCUUCCUGGUCCAGCACCGACGUUCAGGCACGAAAGCGUGGGGAGCAAACAGG
RNAcentral lists this ribosomal RNA (253 nucleotides) under uncultured bacterium. RNAcentral describes it as "partial 16S ribosomal RNA". It matches the Rfam family "Bacterial small subunit ribosomal RNA", at positions 524 to 776 of the family's 1533-position model. The record is from RNAcentral.